AUACGUAGGGGGCGAGCGUUGUCCGGAAUGAUUGGGCGUAAAGGGCGCGUAGGCGGCCCGGUAAGUCUGGAGUGAAAGUCCUGUUUUUAAGAUGGGAAUUGCUUUGGAUACUGUCGGGCUUGAGUGCAGGAGAGGUAAGUGGAAUUCCCAGUGUAGCGGUGAAGUGCGUAGAGAUUGGGAGGAACACCAGUGGCGAAGGCGACUUACUGGACUGUAACUGACGCUGAGGCGCGAAAGUGUGGGGAGCAAACAGGAUUAGAUACCCUGGUAGUCCACACUGUAAACGAUGAAUGCUAGGUGUAGGGGGUAUCGACCCCUUCUGUGCCGCAGUCAACACAAUAAGCAUUCCGCCUGGGGAGUACGGCCGCAAGGUUGAAACUCAAAUGAAUUGACGGGG
Molecule: ribosomal RNA, 397 nt
Filed under: uncultured bacterium
Lineage: Bacteria
Description: partial 16S ribosomal RNA
Rfam family: Bacterial small subunit ribosomal RNA
Source: RNAcentral